GCUUAAUGUUCCCUCUUUCGAUAUUUGUUUUUGCAGGAUUUGGACACCUUCCAUUUAUGAAACGGCGGAUGAAUAGGCCAAACACGUCCCCUCAACCGUUCUCAAGCAUCGAAGAUUCCGGAAACGCAAUGGCAGGAAUAGCAUCUGGUCAGGAACG
Molecule: long non-coding RNA, 157 nt
Organism: Mizuhopecten yessoensis (Yesso scallop)
Lineage: Eukaryota; Metazoa; Mollusca; Bivalvia; Pectinida; Pectinidae
Exons: 3
Source: RefSeq, a predicted model, not a curated record